Molecule: long non-coding RNA, 746 nt
Filed under: Trifolium pratense (red clover)
Lineage: Eukaryota; Viridiplantae; Streptophyta; Magnoliopsida; Fabales; Fabaceae
Description: long non-coding RNA (TPRA_LNC009232)
Source: RNAcentral
CUUCGGACUAAGGCGUGACCAUAGGAUCUCACAGUGUCGGAAUGAGUUGAAGACGAGAUGUGGUGUCCAGUCGGAUAGGGCGAGGCGAGAAGGGGAACAAGGAUCAAAACAGGCAUGGUGCUUAGGGCGGCGCGGCCUCUUUCAUUUCCUGACGUUGGGUUCAUUCGCGAACGAGACAAGUUUAGCUAGGAGCCUCCGCCCCCUUCUUAGUAGCCGAAGUAUAGGCCCGCGUGAGAUCAAAGUAACCUGCCUGCCGUCCGUUCGCUUUGUUUUGGUCUUGACGUGCUUUGAAAAACAUAAAUAUAUUCUUUUUUUAGCACUAGAACACUGACGAUAGACCCACCGGGAACACAUUCACUACUAGGCAUUGACAUCUUAAUGCGUUGCAAUCAGGACAUUGAUCGAUCUUUAUGCUUCCCGGCAGCUAUACAAUCUGAAUCGGCUACCAGUACGUACGUACCUAUUAAGUUAAGACCGCUCGAGUUCUUGAGACCGGGGAGCCCCAGUGCAGGGCCAAUUUCAGUGCCGGUUGGAGACCUGGUUCGAGAUGCAUAUCUUGAAAGAGAGCCAUCACCUCGCCCAACAUCCCUUCCUUUUCUAUAGUCAAUUCGAGAGCCAAAUCCAAAAGCUUAAUUAAAAAGCUGUUGAUCUUGAUCCAAUUCCCGAUGCAUAGGGCGAAAUCUGGUUGAAGCCCCCGGUCAUUUUUAGUAGUGCUGCUCGCUAUAAAUAUCUUUUUGAGGACAGCU